CAGACAUAACACAAUUUUUGAGUAAAUGUCAGCGCAAAUAAUCCACAUUAAACCUGCGACCUUAAAUAUAAACAGCAGCAAAUAUUGAAUAUAAAACAUAUGAGGCCUUGAUCUUGUCUGCUUCCUUGUAGUUUGCACUGAUAAAAGCAAUUUGGCGAUUAAAUUGGCUCCAUAAUUCAGACACACUAUUUUUAUGUGAUUUAACUUCCUGCAAUCGGUGCUGCGAGUCUGACAGACGCUCUGAGAGGAAAAACAUGAUGUGUUUCUCUGAUUUGGGAAAAAACUAUUAAUCAUCACACUUAUGUUUAACGUGUAAGGCGCGCGAUGAGGGGCGGUCCUGCUUACGUCAUUUUGGGCACGAGGACUCGUAUAAACAAACCGGGUCUGCGUUCCUGUCCUCGCGCAUUCAGGUCACCGCACGCGACUUCACUUCAUCCUGAGUUAAACACUUUUAACGGAGAUGCGCGAGACGAGUCUGAGGGAACUUUACUUCCUGUGUAUCAUUGUCUGGUGUCUCACCGGGUUUUGUUCUGAUGUCGAAUGUUAUCCAUUGCUAGACUGUGGAGAAGAUGAAGACUACACACAGGGUUCGGCAGUGCAGAGCUCUCUGUGUGGACUGGUGUGGGGAGACCAGAACAAGGAGCAGAUUCAGAAUGUCUUCAAACGGUUCUUAUUUCAUUACUCGAAAGCACGGAACUCAGUAGGCACUGUUGAGAGAGAGUCUCACUCCGUCCACCCCUUGAUGCGUCUUUCACCCAAGUUUAGUCUGCGAAGGAAGAAACAGCAACUUUUGUCGUGACUUUGUCUUUCUCUUAGAGACACUGAAGAUGAUGUGUGAUCACUCAGACACAGUCUAAGAUGUUCACAGAUGACUCAAGCCAGUUUUCUCAGGAAUGGAAGCUUUAAACCAUUAAACCACUUCCGUAAAGCAGCUCAGUGUGAUGAUAAACGUAGGAAGCCCUUGAUGAUUUAUUCACUGAUUUUCAACCUUUGGAAGCCAGAAACUCCUCAAUAAAUAGAAAUGAGCCCAGUAGAGUGUGAGGGACUGGGAUCAGACUGAGACACUAAUGUAAAAGGACAGAAGCAGCUCAGCUUACGUCCCAUGUUAUAAAUGUUAAAAUCUUAAGUUAAGACUUUCUUUUCUGAUCGCUUCUUGGUUGAAUCAUUCUGAAAACUUCAGGCAGAUCAUCUAGCAGUAGGUAAAAGACCAAUCCAGACACAGAGGGGUAUAAUACCUAAAGUUAGUGAUUAAGUGCCAGUGUACAAGUGCGUUCCUGUUUAAAUGAAACGUUUUUUCGUUUCCCUUUUUUCCCUACACAGAUUUAACUGGAUGUUCAGUGGGAUGUUGAUGUCAUGUGGACUGUAACAAUCAAACCUGUAAAUAAAUUCAAGCUCAUG
Molecule: RNA transcript, 1398 nt
Organism: Tachysurus fulvidraco (yellow catfish)
Lineage: Eukaryota; Metazoa; Chordata; Actinopteri; Siluriformes; Bagridae
Gene: nms
Gene name: neuromedin S
Exons: 9
Source: RefSeq, a predicted model, not a curated record